UACGUAGGGUCCGAGCGUUGUCCGGAAUUACUGGGCGUAAAGAGUGUGUAGGCGGUGCUCUAAGUUCGGUGUGAAAUCUCCCGGCUUAACUGGGAGGGUGCGCCGGAAACUGGAGUGCUCGAGCGUGGGAGAGGAAAGCGGAAUUCCUGGUGUAGCGGUGAAAUGCGUAGAUAUCAGGAGGAACACCUGCGGUGUAGACGGCUUUCUGGACCAUUGCUGACGCUGAGGCACGAAAGCGUGGGUAGCAAACAGG
RNAcentral lists this ribosomal RNA (253 nucleotides) under uncultured bacterium. RNAcentral's name for it is "partial 16S ribosomal RNA". It matches the Rfam family "Bacterial small subunit ribosomal RNA", at positions 524 to 776 of the family's 1533-position model. The record is from RNAcentral.